Molecule: ribosomal RNA, 247 nt
Filed under: uncultured archaeon
Lineage: Archaea
Description: partial 16S ribosomal RNA
Rfam family: Archaeal small subunit ribosomal RNA
Source: RNAcentral
CCGACGGUGAGGGGCGAAAGCUGGGGGCACGAACCGGAUUAGAUACCCGGGUAGUCCCAGCCGUAAACGAUGCUCGCUAGGUGUCUGGGAUGGUGCGACCGUUUCAGGUGCCGCAGGGAAGCCGUGAAGCGAGCCACCUGGGAAGUACGGCCGCAAGGCUGAAACUUAAAGGAAUUGGCGGGGGAGCACUACUACGGGUGGAGCCUGCGGUUUAAUUGGACUCAACGCCGGAAAACUCACCUGGGGC